UGGGGAAUAUUGCACAAUGGGCGAAAGCCUGAUGCAGCGACGCCGCGUGAGGGAUGACGGCCUUCGGGUUGUAAACCUCUUUCAGCAGGGACGAAGCGCAAGUGACGGUACCUGCAGAAGAAGCACCGGCUAACUACGUGCCAGCAGCCGCGGUAAUACGUAGGGUGCAAGCGUUGUCCGGAAUUACUGGGCGUAAAGAGUUCGUAGGCGGUUUGUCGCGUCGUUUGUGAAAACCAGCAGCUCAACUGCUGGCUUGCAGGCGAUACGGGCAGACUUGAGUACUGCAGGGGAGACUGGAAUUCCUGGUGUAGCGGUGAAAUGUGCAGAUAUCAGGAGGAACACCGGUGGCGAAGGCGGGUCUCUGGGCAGUAACUGACGCUGAGGAACGAAAGCGUGGGUAGCGAACAGG
This 409-nucleotide ribosomal RNA is filed under the name bacterium. RNAcentral describes it as "partial 16S ribosomal RNA". It matches the Rfam family "Bacterial small subunit ribosomal RNA", at positions 355 to 776 of the family's 1533-position model. The record is from RNAcentral. RNAcentral also lists the same sequence under 1 other name.